This 1026-nucleotide ribosomal RNA is filed under the name Lactiplantibacillus plantarum. RNAcentral describes it as "bacterial SSU rRNA". It matches the Rfam family "Bacterial small subunit ribosomal RNA", at positions 8 to 1013 of the family's 1533-position model. Lineage: Bacteria; Bacillati; Bacillota; Bacilli; Lactobacillales; Lactobacillaceae. The record is from RNAcentral.
AGAGUUUGAUCCUGGCUCAGACCUGGGGCAGCUAUAAUGCAGUCGAACGAACUCUGGUAUUGAUUGGUGCUUGCAUCAUGAUUUACAUUUGAGUGAGUGGCGAACUGGUGAGUAACACGUGGGAAACCUGCCCAGAAGCGGGGGAUAACACCUGGAAACAGAUGCUAAUACCGCAUAACAACUUGGACCGCAUGGUCCGAGUUUGAAAGAUGGCUUCGGCUAUCACUUUUGGAUGGUCCCGCGGCGUAUUAGCUAGAUGGUGGGGUAACGGCUCACCAUGGCAAUGAUACGUAGCCGACCUGAGAGGGUAAUCGGCCACAUUGGGACUGAGACACGGCCCAAACUCCUACGGGAGGCAGCAGUAGGGAAUCUUCCACAAUGGACGAAAGUCUGAUGGAGCAACGCCGCGUGAGUGAAGAAGGGUUUCGGCUCGUAAAACUCUGUUGUUAAAGAAGAACAUAUCUGAGAGUAACUGUUCAGGUAUUGACGGUAUUUAACCAGAAAGCCACGGCUAACUACGUGCCAGCAGCCGCGGUAAUACGUAGGUGGCAAGCGUUGUCCGGAUUUAUUGGGCGUAAAGCGAGCGCAGGCGGUUUUUUAAGUCUGAUGUGAAAGCCUUCGGCUCAACCGAAGAAGUGCAUCGGAAACUGGGAAACUUGAGUGCAGAAGAGGACAGUGGAACUCCAUGUGUAGCGGUGAAAUGCGUAUAUAUAUGGAAGAACACCAGUGGCGAAGGCGGCUGUCUGGUCUGUAACUGACGCUGAGGCUCGAAAGUAUGGGUAGCAAACAGGAUUAGAUACCCUGGUAGUCCAUACCGUACACGAUGAAUGCUAAGUGUUGGAGGGUUUCCGCCCUUCAGUGCUGCAGCUAACGCAUUAAGCAUUCCGCCUGGGGAGUACGGCCGCAAGGCUGAAACUCAAAGGAAUUGACGGGGGCCCGCACAGCGGUGGAGCAUGUGGUUAAUUCGAAGCUACGCGAAGAACCUUACCAGGUCUUGACAUACUAUGCAAAUCUAAAAAUUAGACG